GACGAACGCUGGCGGCGUGCUUAACACAUGCAAGUCGAACGGUAAGGCCCUUCGGGGUACACGAGUGGCGAACGGGUGAGUAACACGUGGGUGAUCUGCCCUGCACUUCGGGAUAAGCCUGGGAAACUGGGUCUAAUACCGGAUAGGACCACUGCCUGCAUGGGUGGUGGUGGAGAGCUUUUGCGGUGUGGGAUGGGCCCGCGGCCUAUCAGCUUGUUGGUGGGGUGAUGGCCUACCAAGGCGACGACGGGUAGCCGGCCUGAGAGGGUGACCGGCCACACUGGGACUGAGAUACUCCCCAGACUCCUACGGGAGGCAGCAGUGGGGAAUAUUGCACAAUGGGCGCAAGCCUGAUGUAGCGACGCCGCGUGAGGGAUGACGGCCUUCGGGUUGUAAACCUCUUUCAGCACCGACGAAGCGCAAGUGACGGUAGGUGCAGAAGAAGGACCGGCCAACUACGUGCCAGCCGCCGCCGUAA
This 478-nucleotide ribosomal RNA is filed under the name uncultured bacterium. RNAcentral's name for it is "partial 16S ribosomal RNA". It matches the Rfam family "Bacterial small subunit ribosomal RNA", at positions 28 to 523 of the family's 1533-position model. The record is from RNAcentral.